UUAUUAAAAAUCUGAUUUUGUUUUAACCCAUUAGAUGUUCGAUGCCUGCAGGGCUUUACUCCAUGGAGCCAACUCGGACAGCGUUAAUUAGGAUACCUGGAGCUACAUGACUUUACCAACCGCAGUCACCAUGAUCCGAACAGAAAACUGGAGGCCUGGAGGCAAAUUAGUGUGACACUUGAGAUUUUGGCAGACCGAUGCUGUCCAUCUCUGAGCUGGUUGAGCAGGUUUCCUGAGACACCGACAGCAAACAGACCAUCAGAUACAACUCACAGAGGUCACACAGG
Long non-coding RNA from Sebastes umbrosus (honeycomb rockfish), 287 nucleotides. RefSeq lists it as uncharacterized. NCBI's taxonomy places the organism in Eukaryota, Metazoa, Chordata, Actinopteri, Perciformes, Sebastidae. The record is from RefSeq and is a predicted model, not a curated record. The transcript is spliced from 3 exons.